This 463-nucleotide long non-coding RNA is filed under the name Carica papaya (papaya). Its description in RNAcentral is "long non-coding RNA (CPAP_LNC003527)". Lineage: Eukaryota; Viridiplantae; Streptophyta; Magnoliopsida; Brassicales; Caricaceae. The record is from RNAcentral.
AACAUAAUUUCCAAAAAUACAGCCACGUAGGACGACCACGUCAGUAGCACGACGAGUUAGAAUGCACUGCGCGGCAGACACGCUAACACCAGCUCCACACGAGAGCCACACGGGCGAUCCACGUGCUUGGGUAAUCCAACAGCCCAAAUCACAUCCCGUGCGCACGAACGGCCAAGAUGCGUUUCCUCUUCAGAUGUGAUCAGAUAACUAGAUUCGAUUGUGAUGGACGGUGUAGAUUUGCGCACGUAAUCAGCUUAAAUAGGUAACAAUCGGACGAUUUUUCUCACUCCACGUCGAUACGGACAAAAUGCCAUGAUCGAGGGGAAGAGAGGUAUUUAAACUUCUCUUAACUUGGCCCUAAAAUCUUAGCCGACAACCACUGACCGAAGAAGAAGAAGAAGGAUGGCGGCCAGAGGGAGAUCAGCCAUCGAAAGGACACCAUCGCCACCGCACCAGAGCCACU